GUGCCAGCAGCCGCGGUAACACGGACCGCACGAACGUUAUUCGGUAUCACUGGGCUUAAAGCGCGUGUAGGCGGGACGGCACGUCGGUCGCUGAAAGCCCCCGGCUCAACCGGGGAACGGGCGCCGAUACGACCGCCCUGGAGGGAUGUAGGGGGACCUGGAACUUCCGGUGGAGCGGUGAAAUGCGUUGAGAUCGGAAGGAACGCCCGUGGCGAAAGCGAGGUCCUGGACAUUUUCUGACGCUGAGACGCGAAAGCCAGGGGAGCGAACGGGAUUAGAUACCCCGGUAGUCCUGGCCGUAAACGAUGGGCACUGGGUAGGGGGCUCGCCGAUGGGCUCCCUGCCGUAGGGAAACCGUGAAGUGCCCCGCCUGGGGAGUAUGGUCGCAAGGCUGAA
This 396-nucleotide ribosomal RNA is filed under the name uncultured bacterium. RNAcentral's name for it is "bacterial SSU rRNA". It matches the Rfam family "Bacterial small subunit ribosomal RNA", at positions 505 to 898 of the family's 1533-position model. The record is from RNAcentral.